UAACACGUGGGUAACCUGCCUCGUAGAGGGGGAUAGCCUUCCGAAAGGAAGAUUAAUACCGCAUAAUAUAGUUUAGCCGCAUGGCUGAAUUAUCAAAGGAGUAAUCCGCUAUGAGAUGGACCCGCGGCGCAUUAGCUAGUUGGUGAGGUAACGGCUCACCAAGGCGACGAUGCGUAGCCGACCUGAGAGGGUGAUCGGCCACAUUGGAACUGAGAUACGGUCCAA
Molecule: ribosomal RNA, 225 nt
Filed under: uncultured bacterium
Lineage: Bacteria
Description: partial 16S ribosomal RNA
Rfam family: Bacterial small subunit ribosomal RNA
Source: RNAcentral